UACGUAGGGUGCAAGCGUUACUCGGAAUUACUGGGCGUAAAGCGUGCGCAGGCGGUUGUGCAAGACAGGUGUGAAAUCCCCGGGCUCAACCUGGGAACUGCAUUUGUGACUGCACAGCUAGAGUACGGGAGAGGGGGAUGGAAUUCCGCGUGUAGCAGUGAAAUGCGUAGAUAUGCGGAGGAACACCGAUGGCGAAGGCAAUCCCCUGGACCUGUACUGACGCUGAUGCACGAAAGCGUGGGGAGCAAACAGG
This 253-nucleotide ribosomal RNA is filed under the name uncultured bacterium. RNAcentral's name for it is "partial 16S ribosomal RNA". It matches the Rfam family "Bacterial small subunit ribosomal RNA", at positions 524 to 776 of the family's 1533-position model. The record is from RNAcentral.